RNAcentral lists this ribosomal RNA (253 nucleotides) under uncultured bacterium. RNAcentral describes it as "partial 16S ribosomal RNA". It matches the Rfam family "Bacterial small subunit ribosomal RNA", at positions 524 to 776 of the family's 1533-position model. The record is from RNAcentral.
UACGUAGGGUGCAAGCGUUAAUCGGAAUUACUGGGCGUAAAGCGUGCGCAGGCGGUUUUUUAAGCUUGAUGUGAAAUCCCCGGGCUUAACCUGGGAACUGCAUUGAGGACUGGAAGGCUAGAGUACGGCAGAGGGGGGUGGAAUUCCACGUGUAGCAGUGAAAUGCGUAGAGAUGUGGAGGAACACCGAUGGCGAAGGCAGCCCCCUGGGCCUGUACUGACGCUCAUGCACGAAAGCGUGGGGAGCAAACAGG